RNAcentral lists this ribosomal RNA (253 nucleotides) under uncultured bacterium. RNAcentral's name for it is "partial 16S ribosomal RNA". It matches the Rfam family "Bacterial small subunit ribosomal RNA", at positions 524 to 776 of the family's 1533-position model. The record is from RNAcentral.
UACGUAGGGGGCAAGCGUUGUCCGGAAUCAUUGGGCGUAAAGCGCGUGUAGGCGGCUCGAUAAGUCUGCUGUGAAAGUUCAGGGCUCAACCCUGAAAUGCCGGUGGAAACUGUCGAGCUAGAGUACGGAAGAGGCGAGUGGAGUUCCUGGUGUAGCGGUGAAAUGCGCAGAUAUCAGGAGGAACACCAAUGGCGAAGGCAGCUCGCUGGGACGUUACUGACGCUGAGACGCGAAAGCGUGGGGAGCAAACAGG